Molecule: long non-coding RNA, 397 nt
Organism: Hyla sarda
Lineage: Eukaryota; Metazoa; Chordata; Amphibia; Anura; Hylidae
Exons: 3
Source: RefSeq, a predicted model, not a curated record
UCAGAUUUGACAUGGUGGCAGCUAAUUAGUGCGCUGUCCCGGUGUGUGAUGCGAUUAUGUCACCGCCGUGCGUUAUCGCCACAGUGUGAACGGACGUCUGAGGACACUCACCAGAUCUUCAAUGGUCACUAUGCAUCAUACGAACAUUAUUGUGGCCUAGUUCCACCCAAGGCAUCCUUGACAAACUCAUCAAGGGGUACGGAACUACUCACUAGACGAAUCUCAAGUGACUAACAGACUGGGGGCUGGGACUUACAGACUGACUCUGUCCACAGCACCUUCUUCCAAAAUGAAAAUGCAAGAAAUAGAAAUCCAAACCUCAAGGACCUCACCAGAAAUAAUGGUGCAUGAUGGUAGUAUUAAUAAUACUGUAUCAGGAGAUCGUGCUUCAAAUCUU